GACGAACGCUGGCGGCGUGCUUAACACAUGCAAGUCGAGCGGAAAGGCCCUUCGGGGUACUCGAGUGGCGAACGGGUGAGUAACACGUGGGUGAUCUGCCCUGCACUUUGGGAUAAGCCUGGGAAACUGGGUCUAAUACCGAAUAGGACCACGCGCUUCAUGGUGUGUGGUGGAAAGCUUUUGCGGUGUGGGAUGGGCCCGCGGCCUAUCAGCUUGUUGGUGGGGUAAUGGCCUACCAAGGCGACGACGGGUAGCCGGCCUGAGAGGGUGACCGGCCACACUGGGACUGAGAUACGGCCCAGACUCCUACGGGAGGCAGCAGUGGGGAAUAUUGCACAAUGGGCGCAAGCCUGAUGCAGCGACGCCGCGUGAGGGAUGGCGGCCUUCGGGUUGUAAACCUCUUUCACCAGGGACGAAGCGUAAGUGACGGUACCUGGAGAAGAAGCACCGGCCAACUACGUG
This 462-nucleotide ribosomal RNA is filed under the name uncultured bacterium. Its description in RNAcentral is "partial 16S ribosomal RNA". It matches the Rfam family "Bacterial small subunit ribosomal RNA", at positions 28 to 507 of the family's 1533-position model. The record is from RNAcentral.